ACGCUGGCGGCGUGCCUAAUACAUGCAAGUAGAACGCUGAAGGAGGAGCUUGCUUCUCUGGAUGAGUUGCGAACGGGUGAGUAACGCGUAGGUAACCUGCCUGGUAGCGGGGGAUAACUAUUGGAAACGAUAGCUAAUACCGCAUAAGAGUAGAUGUUGCAUGACAUUUGCUUAAAAGGUGCAAUUGCAUCACUACCAGAUGGACCUGCGUUGUAUUAGCUAGUUGGUGGGGUAACGGCUCACCAAGGCGACGAUACAUAGCCGACCUGAGAGGGUGAUCGGCCACACUGGGACUGAGACACGGCCCAGACUCCUACGGGAGGCAGCAGUAGGGAAUCUUCGGCAAUGGACGGAAGUCUGACCGAGCAACGCCGCGUGAGUGAAGAAGGUUUUCGGAUCGUAAAGCUCUGUUGUAAGAGAAGAACGAGUGUGAGAGUGGAAAGUUCACACUGUGACGGUAUCUUACCAGAAAGGGACGGCUAACUACGUGCCAGCAGCCGCGGUAAUACGUAGGUCCCGAGCGUUGUCCGGAUUUAUUGGGCGUAAAGCGAGCGCAGGCGGUUAGAUAAGUCUGAAGUUAAAGGCUGUGGCUUAACCAUAGUACGCUUUGGAAACUGUUUAACUUGAGUGCAAGAGGGGAGAGUGGAAUUCCAUGUGUAGCGGUGAAAUGCGUAGAUAUAUGGAGGAACACCGGUGGCGAAAGCGGCUCUCUGGCUUGUAACUGACGCUGAGGCUCGAAAGCGUGGGGAGCAAACAGGAUAAGAUACCCUGGUAGUCCACGCCGUAAACGAUGAGUGCUAGGUGUUAGACCCUUUCCGGGGUUUAGUGCCGUAGCUAACGCAUUAAGCACUCCGCCUGGGGAGUACGACCGCAAGGUUGAAACUCAAAGGAAUUGACGGGGGCCCGCACAAGCGGU
RNAcentral lists this ribosomal RNA (916 nucleotides) under uncultured bacterium. Its description in RNAcentral is "bacterial SSU rRNA". It matches the Rfam family "Bacterial small subunit ribosomal RNA", at positions 33 to 933 of the family's 1533-position model. The record is from RNAcentral.